GAUGAACGCUGGCGGCGUGCCUAACACAUGCAAGUCGAACGGAGUCGUUUUGGAAAUCUCUUCGGAGAUGGAAUUCUCGACUUAGUGGCGGACGGGUGAGUAACGCGUGAGCAAUCUGCCUUUAAGAGGGGGAUAACAGUCGGAAACGGCUGCUAAUACCGCAUAAAGCAUUAAAUUCGCAUGUUUUUGAUGCCAAAGGAGCAAUCCGCUUUUAGAUGAGCUCGCGUCUGAUUAGCUAGUUGGCGGGGUAACGGCCCACCAAGGCGACGAUCAGUAGCCGGACUGAGCGGAUGAACGGCCACAUUUGGACUGGGACACGGCCCAGACUCCUACGGGAGGCAGCAGUGGGGAAUAUUGCGCAAUGGGGGAAACCCUGACGCAGCAACGCCGCGUGAUUGAAGAAGGCCUUCGGGUUGUAAAGAUCUUUAAUCAGGGACGAAACAAAUGACGGUACCUGAAGAAUAAGCUCCGGCUAACUACGUG
RNAcentral lists this ribosomal RNA (483 nucleotides) under uncultured bacterium. Its description in RNAcentral is "partial 16S ribosomal RNA". It matches the Rfam family "Bacterial small subunit ribosomal RNA", at positions 28 to 507 of the family's 1533-position model. The record is from RNAcentral.